RNAcentral lists this long non-coding RNA (845 nucleotides) under Dromaius novaehollandiae (emu). Its description in RNAcentral is "lncRNA (ENSDNVG00000005558.1)". Lineage: Eukaryota; Metazoa; Chordata; Aves; Casuariiformes; Dromaiidae. The record is from RNAcentral.
GCAAGAUGGGCAAAGCAAAAGAUAAAGUAGCUUUCAUAUGAGAAAUAGGACAAUAAGAAUAGGAAAGCAAUUACUUUUGCAGAUUUCUAUAAUAUAAAUAGCUUUGUCAGCUUAAAUAUACUGUAUCUGUCACACCUUGAUCUUAAACGCUGUAAUCAAAUGCCAAAGAGAAUGAUGAUUUGUAAAGAAAGUUACAUUUAUUUAGCAUGUUUUCCAUAUUUUAUUAUAAAACUCUUCUAUCCCCAGUAGUUAAUCAUAGCUUUAUAAAACAUUACAUUUGGAAGAGUCUGUCUUAUAUAACUACAAGAGGUACAUUCAGUUCCACUGGAGGGCUUAGUUACAUAGGUGACUGAAAAUUACAGGAUUUUUUUUCCUUUGAUAAUUGCAAUCACAUACUAAAAUGGAAAAAACAAUUAUUUUAUUCAUUUGUUUGUUUCAGAUGUUGCCUGUAUUUUCUUUGGAACAUGCGGUCACAUACUCGAGAUGAACACGAGUAACCAAGGUGGAACUGAGCGAAUCCAAGUCCACAGAAGUGAUUCAGCUUUAGUGGCUGUAAAAUCCAAAUCCAUUUGGCACCAUUGUCUCGGUCCUGUCAGUCCCCUAAGGGCCGACGCGUAGGUUUCUGACUAAGUCAGUAUGUUGCAAUGUUCCAAGCUUUGUUUAACCUUGCUUCAGAUCAUCUGGCAUUUUUUGAAGCGCACAGUUACGCAGAAACAAGAGCCGGGUUCUUGCGUUGGACUGUCCUUGACAGGACUCUUUUCAUGUGCCUGUGGAAGGAUGCACAUACCAGAAAGCAGAACAUGAUUUGCUGUCCUCAGUUACUACGCAACAGGUGACCACUUUUU